This 57-nucleotide transfer RNA is filed under the name Striatella unipunctata. It matches the Rfam family "tRNA", at positions 8 to 62 of the family's 71-position model. From Rfam's summary of the family: Transfer RNA (tRNA) molecules are approximately 80 nucleotides in length. The record is from RNAcentral. Lineage: Eukaryota; Bacillariophyta; Striatellaphyceae; Striatellales; Striatellaceae.
CUAACUCAAUGGUAGAGUAUUCGGCUUUUAACCGAUUUGAUCUAGGUUCGAUUCCUA